UUGCAAUAUAAACUUAAAUAUAUACUUUA
This 29-nucleotide non-coding RNA is filed under the name Mus musculus (house mouse). The record is from RNAcentral. Lineage: Eukaryota; Metazoa; Chordata; Mammalia; Rodentia; Muridae.